Molecule: ribosomal RNA, 402 nt
Filed under: uncultured bacterium
Lineage: Bacteria
Description: bacterial SSU rRNA
Rfam family: Bacterial small subunit ribosomal RNA
Source: RNAcentral
UGAGGAAUAUUGCCCAAUGGACGCAAGUCUGAGGCAGCAACGCCGCGUGGAUGAUGAAGGCCUUCGGGUCGUAAAAUCCUUUUCUGGGGGAAGAGAAAGGACGGUACCUCAGGAAUAAGUCUCGGCUAACUAUGUGCCAGCAGCCGCGGUAAGACAUAGGAGGCAAGCGUUAUCCGGAUUUACUGGGCGUAAAGGGCGUUGAGGCGGCCUUGUAAGUUGGACGUGAAAGCUCCUGGCUCAACUAGGAGAAGCCGUUCAAUACUGCGAGGCUUGAGGACAGCAGAGGGGGGUGGAAUUCCCGGUGUAGUGGUGAAAUGCGUAGAGAUCGGGAGGAACACCAGUGGCGAAGGCGGCCCCCUGGGCUGAUCCUGACGCUGAAUGCGAAAGCUAGGGUAGCAAACG